Molecule: long non-coding RNA, 299 nt
Filed under: Olea europaea (common olive)
Lineage: Eukaryota; Viridiplantae; Streptophyta; Magnoliopsida; Lamiales; Oleaceae
Description: long non-coding RNA (OEUR_LNC009217)
Source: RNAcentral
UGUGUUUUGGUCAUUUCCCAAAAUUUCUUGUCCCAUUAGCUUCUCUUCAACUCCAAUUGACUCUUGGUGUUCUCAACUCAUCGUUCUUUGAUCCAAUUCAACUUUUGGAUUAUUGCAUUCUAGUCCCCAAACUUUGCCUUGAUGUAAUUGAGUCAUUUUUCAUGCUUAUUUUCUUUAUUCUCGUAUCUGAUCUUCCAUUAAUUGUAACCUACACACAAUAUAUAAAUAGGAUUAAGCCAUAUUCCAUCAAAUUCUUUAACAAAUACUCAAUUUUGCCUAAAUAAGUGUAUAAAAUACAC